ACCAUCGGCCCUAUGAACUUUGUGCACCCUGUGUACAUUUCUCCAUUUGACACAUAUCCUCUCCUCAUUGGCAAAGACCUGCUAGAUCGCUUUGAACCAUUGCUAGAUUUUAAACAACUGAAAAUCUGGGCUCAAGUGCGAGAACCUCUGCCUCCGCAGUCACCAAGUCCACCCCAGACAGACUGUCAGGUCACAAAGGUCGCGGGAAAUCUCGCCGCCAGCCGCGGGAACGUCUCGUCCCAAGAGCAAGGUUCAAGGUCGCUGCUCUGUACUUUCCAGUUAGCCAAAGACUCUGACACAUACGGACCCCACGUUAAGGGGGGCUUACAACUGAAUGAUGUCACAACAACAGACCCCAUACUAGCACUGUGGGCAGACAAUUCAGCCAUCAGCCUCUCACAGUUCAAUGCUCUCAAACAGCACACAACGAACAUUCCUUUUGCUAACAAGCGCACACGAUUCCCCUUGAAUCCCUGUCCAUCAGCUAUGGUGACUGCCAAGGGCACCUGUGCCUUGAACUUGAGGUGGAAUGACAGGUGUCUAACCCAUUACUUCCUGGUCCUUACAGACGCACCGCAUGAUGUCUACAUCGGAGCGGACAUUCUGAUUCGCCUCAGGGCUCACGUGGACAUGAUCAAUGAAGUGAUAUGGGCUCCAAUGACCUCACAGUCACCCACAGUUCCUGUCAACCAUGAGAACCUCCUGUCAGGCCAAACCAUCCCUGAGGCCUGCAUGCUAAUCAAUGAAAAAGAGACUGUAGUACCAGCUUACACCAAAGGGGUCGCUGUUCGACUCAACCUGCGAAGCGGCCAAACUCUCAGUCACACCCUAGGCUUCUUCCAACCUUCACCCGAAUGUGGGGAACUGGGCCUCAUUUUGGAAGCCACACCCCUCGUUGAAGUAACAUCUCGGGCAACCUACAUCUUGUUCAAUAACUGCAUGGCAACGGAUGUCAGAGUGCCUAAGGCGUACCGUCUGGGUUGGCUAGUGAGCUAUGACUUUCAUGACUUUGAACUAAUUCUACCAAUUAUUGGACCCAUCUCAGAUCCAAUGAUUCCAGAAGAAAGCUCAGGCCACACAGUGUUAACAGAACCCUUCAAGAUCAUCA
Molecule: long non-coding RNA, 1108 nt
Filed under: Sinocyclocheilus grahami
Lineage: Eukaryota; Metazoa; Chordata; Actinopteri; Cypriniformes; Cyprinidae
Description: lncRNA (ENSSGRG00000050805.1)
Source: RNAcentral